Molecule: ribosomal RNA, 421 nt
Filed under: uncultured bacterium
Lineage: Bacteria
Description: partial 16S ribosomal RNA
Rfam family: Bacterial small subunit ribosomal RNA
Source: RNAcentral
AAUAUUGGAAAAUGGGGGCAACCCUGAUCCAGCCAUGCCGCGUGUGUGAAGAAGGUCUUCGGAUUGUAAGGCACUUUAAGUUGGGAGGAAGGGCUUUAGGUUAAUAACCUGAGGGUGUGACGUUACCUACAGACUAAGCACCGGCUAACUCUGUGCCAGCAGCCGCGGUAAUACAGAGGGUGCAAUCGUUAAUCGGAAUUACUGGGCGUAAAGCGCGCGUAGGUGGUUCAGUAAGAUGGGUGUGAAAUCCCCGGGCUUAACCUGGGAACUGCUUUCAUAACUGCUGAGCUAGAGUACGGUAGAGGGUAGUGGAAUUUCCUGUGUAGCGGUGAAAUGCGUAGAUAUAGGAAGGAACACCAGUGGCGAAGGCGACUACCUGGACUGAUACUGACACUGAGGUGCGAAAGCGUGGGGAGCAAAC